This 253-nucleotide ribosomal RNA is filed under the name uncultured bacterium. RNAcentral's name for it is "partial 16S ribosomal RNA". It matches the Rfam family "Bacterial small subunit ribosomal RNA", at positions 524 to 776 of the family's 1533-position model. The record is from RNAcentral.
UACGGAAGGGGCAAGCGUUGUUCGGAAACAUUGGGCGUAAAGGGCGCGUAGGUGGUUCUGUAUGUCUACCGUGAAAGCGUACGGCUCAACCGUAUUUUGUCGGUGGAAACUGCAGGACUCGAGGCUGGGAGGGGCUGGUGGAAUUCCCUGUGUAGCGGUGAAAUGCGUAGAGAUGGGGGAGAACACUCGUGGCGAAGGCGGCCAGCUAGACCAGUUCUGACACUGAGGCGCGACAGCGUGGGGAGCAAACAGG